UACAGAGGUCUCAAGCGUUGUUCGGAUUCAUUGGGCGUAAAGGGUGCGCAGGUGGGCUGGUAAGUUCGAUGUGAAAGCCCCGGGCUUAACCCGGGAAUGGCAUUGGAUACUACUGGUCUGGAGGAUUGGAGGGGGGACUGGAAUUCUUGGUGUAGCAGUGAAAUGCGUAGAUAUCAAGAGGAACACCAGUGGCGAAGGCGAGUCCCUGGACAAUACCUGACACUGAGGCACGAAAGCCAAGGGAGCAAACAGG
RNAcentral lists this ribosomal RNA (253 nucleotides) under uncultured bacterium. RNAcentral describes it as "partial 16S ribosomal RNA". It matches the Rfam family "Bacterial small subunit ribosomal RNA", at positions 524 to 776 of the family's 1533-position model. The record is from RNAcentral.